Molecule: ribosomal RNA, 206 nt
Filed under: uncultured bacterium
Lineage: Bacteria
Description: partial 16S ribosomal RNA
Rfam family: Bacterial small subunit ribosomal RNA
Source: RNAcentral
UGCGCAGGCGGCCCUGUAAGACCGGUGUGAAAUCCCCGGGCUCAACCUGGGAAUUGCGCUGGUGACUGCAGGGCUAGAGUACGGUAGAGGGGGGUGGAAUUCCUGGUGUAGCAGUGAAAUGCGUAGAGAUCAGGAGGAACACCGAUGGCGAAGGCAGCCCCCUGGGCCUGUACUGACGCUCAUGCACGAAAGCGUGGGAGCAAACA